RNAcentral lists this long non-coding RNA (462 nucleotides) under Hordeum vulgare. RNAcentral describes it as "long non-coding RNA (HVUL_LNC007152)". The record is from RNAcentral. Lineage: Eukaryota; Viridiplantae; Streptophyta; Magnoliopsida; Poales; Poaceae.
AUUUCAAGGAGAAGUUGCACGGCGAAGGGUUCCUGGAUCAGAUAGCCUGAUGAUGGAGGUUGCACGAUGUCGGCGCGAUGAAGGUUCGGGCUCAAGGAGGAAGAAUAAGAUCGGAGCAAGGUAAAAAUAUGAAAAGACGCCCUCACAAGUAUUUAUAUGACAGAGCUGAAGUGAAAACAGUGGGCACGGGAAUCCAGGAGGUGCAAUAAAUUUCGAAACUAAUGGCACCUUGAUUUUCAGGCUAAAUAGAUAAGCCAAAAGAUCCGUUGGAAUGACGCUACUAAGAUCCCUACAAUCUUGGGGCGGAUGAUGUCACUGACAAACAGAGCAGGAGCUUCAUAGAAUAUUUGGAGCCAACAUCUUUCUGCAUUGGAAGACAAAACUUGGGUUGCAUAUGAGCCGCCAGGAGUAAAAGUAAAGGAUUAUUCAGGUCAAUCUGGGGCCUAAUGUUGGGGAUAUUAU